AGGACGAACGCUGGCGGCGUGCUUAACACAUGCAAGUCGAGCGGAAAGGCCCUUCGGGGUACUCGAGCGGCGAACGGGUGAGUAACACGUGAGCAACCUGCCCUUAGCUCUGGGAUAGCUCCGGGAAACCGGAAUUAAUACCGGAUACGACCUAGGCCGACAUCGGCCAUGGUGGAAAGUUUUUCGGCUAGGGAUGGACUCGCGGCCUAUCAGCUAGUUGGUGGGGUAAAGGCCUACCAAGGCGACGACGGGUAGCCGGCCUGAGAGGGCGACCGGCCACACUGGGACUGAGACACGGCCCAGACUCCUACGGGAGGCAGCAGUGGGAAUCUUGCGCAAUGGGCGAAAGCCUGACGCAGCGACGCCGCGUGGGGGAUGAAGGCCUUCGGGUUGUAAACCCCUUUCAGCAGGGACGAAGCGAAAGUGACGGUACCUGCAGAAGAAGCGCCGGCUAACUACGUGCUAGCAGCCGC
RNAcentral lists this ribosomal RNA (473 nucleotides) under uncultured bacterium. Its description in RNAcentral is "SSU rRNA". It matches the Rfam family "Bacterial small subunit ribosomal RNA", at positions 26 to 518 of the family's 1533-position model. The record is from RNAcentral.